This 541-nucleotide ribosomal RNA is filed under the name Promicromonospora xylanilytica. RNAcentral describes it as "bacterial SSU rRNA". It matches the Rfam family "Bacterial small subunit ribosomal RNA", at positions 111 to 667 of the family's 1533-position model. The record is from RNAcentral. Lineage: Bacteria; Bacillati; Actinomycetota; Actinomycetes; Micrococcales; Promicromonosporaceae.
UAACACGUGAGCAACCUGCCCCCUACUUCGGGAUAAGCCUUGGAAACGGGGUCUAAUACCGGAUAUGAACGUCUGCCGCAUGGUGGGUGUUGGAAAGUUUUUCGGUGGGGGAUGGGCUCGCGGCCUAUCAGCUUGUUGGUGGGGUAAUGGCCUACCAAGGCGUCGACGGGUAGCCGGCCUGAGAGGGCGACCGGCCACACUGGGACUGAGACACGGCCCAGACUCCUACGGGAGGCAGCAGUGGGGAAUAUUGCACAAUGGGCGAAAGCCUGAUGCAGCGACGCCACGUGAGGGAUGACGGCCUUCGGGUUGUAAACCUCUUUCAGCAGGGAAGAAGCGAAAGUGACGGUACCUGCAGAAGAAGCGCCGGCUAACUACGUGCCAGCAGCCGCGGUAAUACGUAGGGCGCAAGCGUUGUCCGGAAUUAUUGGGCGUAAAGAGCUCGUAGGUGGUCUGUCGCGUCUGGUGUGAAAUCCCAUGGCUCAACUGUGGGCUUGCAUCGGGUACGGGCAGACUAGAGUGCUGUAGGGGAGACUGGAAU